Molecule: ribosomal RNA, 427 nt
Filed under: uncultured Halomonadaceae bacterium
Lineage: Bacteria; Pseudomonadati; Pseudomonadota; Gammaproteobacteria; Oceanospirillales; Halomonadaceae
Description: bacterial SSU rRNA
Rfam family: Bacterial small subunit ribosomal RNA
Source: RNAcentral
UGGGGAAUAUUGCACAAUGGGCGCAAGCCUGAUGCAGCCAUGCCGCGUGUAUGAAGAAGGCCCUCGGGUUGUAAAGCACUUUCAGUGGGGAAGAAAGCCUCGGGAUUAAUACUUCCGAGGGAGGACAUCACCCACAAAAAAGCACCGGCUAACUCCGUGCCAGCAGCCGCGGUAAUACGGAGGGUGCGAGCGUUAAUCGGAAUUACUGGGCGUAAAGCGCGCGUAGGCGGUCUGAUCAGCCGGUUGUGAAAGCCCCGGGCUCAACCUGGGAACGGCAUCCGGAACUGUCAGGCUAGAGUGCAGGAGAGGAAGGUAGAAUUCCCGGUGUAGCGGUGAAAUGCGUAGAGAUCGGGAGGAAUACCAGUGGCGAAGGCGGCCUUUCUGGACUGACACUGACACUGAGGUGCGAAAGCGUGGGUAGCAAACA